This 1984-nucleotide long non-coding RNA is filed under the name Homo sapiens (human). RNAcentral describes it as "HSALNT0368417". The record is from RNAcentral. Lineage: Eukaryota; Metazoa; Chordata; Mammalia; Primates; Hominidae.
GCAGAACAGUCCUCCCUGUAAGAGCCUAACCAUUGCCAGGGAAACCUGCCCUGGGCGCUCCCUUCAUUAGCAGUAUUUUUUUUAAAUUAAUCUGAUUAAUAAUUAUUUUUCCCCCAUUUAAUUUUUUUUCCUCCCAGGUGGAGUUGCCGAAGCUGGGGGCAGCUGGGGAGGGUGGGGAUGGGAGGGGAGAGACAGAAGUUGAGGGCAUCUCUCUCUUCCUUCCCGACCCUCUGGCCCCCAAGGGGCAGGAGGAAUGCAGGAGCAGGAGUUGAGCUUGGGAGCUGCAGAUGCCUCCGCCCCUCCUCUCUCCCAGGCUCUUCCUCCUGCCCCCUUCUUGCAACUCUCCUUAAUUUUGUUUGGCUUUUGGAUGAUUAUAAUUAUUUUUAUUUUUGAAUUUAUAUAAAGUAUAUGUGUGUGUGUGUGGAGCUGAGACAGGCUCGGCAGCGGCACAGAAUGAGGGAAGACGAGAAAGAGAGUGGGAGAGAGAGAGGCAGAGAGGGAGAGAGGGAGAGUGACAGCAGCGCUCGGUAAGUGUUUCCUUAUUGGUUCAAAUAUGUAACUAAUGGUCCGUGGCGGUUUCAAGAAUAGGACAGCAGCGGCUUCUCUUGGUUAGGGAGAAGAGGGGGCUGGCGAGAGGGUGGGCGCGUAGUUAAUUAUGGGGAGGAAAAUUGGCGGGGGGAGAGAAACGGGGUUAAACUGGAAUACCGGUAACUGGUAGUGGGGCGAUUGUGUUGUCCUGAUGUCACUGUGUGCCAAGUUGGGGGUGGGGAGGCAAGGGAACAGCACCUGUGGGGCUCAAGCCGGCGGUCUAGGGCGCCAGCUCUCUGCUGCCCACUGUGUCAGUACCUGCUUAUUAUAGAUCUUCGGUCUCUUGGCUAAUGGAACUGGGUCGGAGCGGAACUGGAAGCUCAAGCUCCAGGCAGGAGAGAGAACUUAGAGGCUGUGCCCAUUGCCCCCUAAGCAAAGUUAGCCCCCCAACCCCCAAACAAACUUUCCAGCUUCCCCUCCCUGUCUGGCAGCCCCCUCCCUCCCAGAGAGCGCGACUGCUAGAGCUCACACAUGCGCAGUGUGGGCCCAGGGCCGGGCCGCCGAGCAGGAAGCCGGCGCAGCUAGGCGGCCGGCGGGGCCUGUUAAUUGGCAAUUAGGGGGGAGGCUGGUGGCUGGUGCGCGUCAGCCGAGAGGAGAGCGUCUGCCCACCCCCUGCUCCCGCCCCCACUCGGGCGGAUGGAAGGGUGGGAGGUGCCCUGCGUUGGGUGGAGGGUGGAGGUUGUAGGGUGGGGGUGGGGGAUGCUGUACUCAAAAGCCAUCUUGUGCUCAGAGAAAAGAGGCCUACCGGCUUUCCCUUCCGGGGUCCGGCGCCCCUCACCCCCAGCCGCGGCCAUCCCAGCCGGGAUGCCCACUGGACCGGGAUGCCCGCUCGCCACGCAUGGCUGCUCUGGGCUAGGACCUGCCUCGCCUCGGGGGGAGGUGGAAAUGGGGAAGGCCCUAGGCUGGGCGGGGACAGGCCCAGUCCUCCUGGUAGAGUCUCCUAGGUGCUGUGGAGGCAGUGAGGAUUCCGGGGGCUGCUGGCUUAUGGGGUAGAGGCGUCAGCCUGGGGCGGCGGGAGGGUCCUGGGCACUCGGGAUCUCUCUAAUAAUUGGUGCUAAUGGCCUGUUGUAUAGUCUUAACCCGACGCAUAUGGUUUCAUAACACAGUGGCUUAAUUUCUUCCAAAUGUACGUGGCCCUGAAUGUGUUGCAGUUUGAUAUAUGACCCCGCCCUGCUCCCCGGCCUGGGUCCGAGGCUCCGAGGCGGCCCCAUAAGUGUGAAUUUCUGUUUAUAAACGGCGACGCACACGCAAACGCCUACACACCCAGGCAGACACACCCGGAGGCGUGGGGGAACAUAUUCCAGACGAGGUCCGAGAGAACCUGGGGGCCAGACUUACCUUAAUCUAAGCCAAGACACCCCCUCUACCCCCACCCUCCCCUUCCCUUCCUUUUCUG